GGUGGCUCAGCGGUAGAGUAUUUGCCCCUCAUGCAUGAGGCCCUGGGUUCGAUUCUCAGCACCA
Molecule: transfer RNA, 64 nt
Filed under: Dipodomys ordii (Ord's kangaroo rat)
Lineage: Eukaryota; Metazoa; Chordata; Mammalia; Rodentia; Heteromyidae
Rfam family: tRNA
About the family: Transfer RNA (tRNA) molecules are approximately 80 nucleotides in length. Their secondary structure includes four short double-helical elements and three loops (D, anti-codon, and T loops).
Source: Rfam by way of RNAcentral